Long non-coding RNA from Canis lupus familiaris (dog), 672 nucleotides. RefSeq lists it as uncharacterized. NCBI's taxonomy places the organism in Eukaryota, Metazoa, Chordata, Mammalia, Carnivora, Canidae. The record is from RefSeq and is a predicted model, not a curated record. The transcript is spliced from 5 exons.
CGGGUACAAGGGAAUAUUCUGUCCUUAGUAAUCACAUCAGUGUUUGGAUGUUUUCUUUCUGAGACCAUGCCUCUCUGUCUCCUGCCUGCCACGUGUGAAAGUUCUAAUUUUCCAGUCACACAUACCAGAAGCUGGGAGCAUGAAGAUGGGGCAGCGUGGAGCAGGGACAGUGGUCUGGAAGGAAACCCACAAUGUCUCUAAGGUGUGCCUGUACAGCGUUUGCAGUCUAGGUGAGAAGAUUACAAAACCCCUAUUGAAAGGGAAGGAUGGAAGGAAGGAUGGAAGGAAGGAAGGAAGGAAGGAAGGAAGGAAGGAAGGAAGGAAAAACCAUGGCCAAUAUGCAAACUUUUUCAAUAUUUAUAUAAAGUUUUAAAAAGUGAUGAAAGUAAUAAGUCUCUGUCACCGCCCAAUUACUACAAGAAAUACAGGCCUGAAGCCUCUGUGCGAGCUGUCACAUGCAGACCCUCUGAAGGCAACUCGGAAGAAGUGACAUGCUGCCAUCACUCAUGUUAAUGCCUAUUUGUGCAACGAUAUUAUUUGAAAUAAUCGACCAAUUCAUCAAAGGGAACGGCAGACUUGGGUUGUGGGGGGGGAGGAGAACGUGCUUUUUCAGUACUAAUGACAAAAUGACAUUUCUGUUUACCAUUUGUCAGCUCUAAAUAGUCAAUAAAU